This is a long non-coding RNA of Sciurus carolinensis (gray squirrel), 927 nucleotides long. RefSeq lists it as uncharacterized. Lineage: Eukaryota; Metazoa; Chordata; Mammalia; Rodentia; Sciuridae. The transcript is spliced from 2 exons. The record is from RefSeq and is a predicted model, not a curated record.
AAGGGUUGGGGAGUUGAGGUGAUAAAGACAGAGGAGACAGAUAUUCAUAUGCUACCUCUGAAAUUGGGGUACAAGUGGCCAUUCCGAAUAUUCUUUAAAAUGAAGAGGGACUGACUAUUCCUCUUAAGUUUUUGGAGUACAAGGGGCUGUGGAAAUGCAUAUUGAUAGACAAUACCCAAAGGUAUAUUUUUACUUUUAAAACUCCAUUACCCUUAUUAAUUCCUCAGCCCCUUGUCUUUAUUCUCUGCCCCUUCCUUUUAAUUAUUCCUUCAAUAUCUUUGUCUUUCAAUGAGGUUGGCCCGAGACACAGAUGGGACUGGAAAUUACCUGCUUCUAACCCAUAAGCAUGUGGCCCAGCUCUCUUCAAAUUGUUGCUACCACCGAAAUCGCCGUCCUCCAGCCAGACCCCCCCAGUGGGUGGUAUGACCACAGUUUCUCCAUAUCCAAAGACACUGUCUUUCCAUUGUUUCUGAGAUUCAACCUCAGAUGCUGGUGGAGUUGGCCCCUCCAUAUUUCCUGAGUAACUUGCCCCCAGUGAGAGCAGAGAUCUCCUGAACCAGUUGAGGAAAGGAAUGGCGGAUUCAUCAGCAGAAAGCGAAUCUUCCUCCACCCAGGAGUUCAAAGAUGCCUGUGUCCCUGCAGUGACCUGCCUACCUAAGGAUUGGAGCCAAGCUCAUCUCAUGGUCCUCCUUCAGGCUAGCACCAAAGCAAACAACCAGAUUUAGAGCCCAGAGUUUAAGGUCAAAUGUAAAUUCUGGAACCUAAGAGGAGUAGAGGGAAUGGGGUAAGCCACAGUCUGUAUCGGGUAGGACCUUAGCCUUCUUGUUUCUUUCCUUAUUGGCCAGGGACUGACCUGCUCCCCAUUCUACUAAGUUUUGUCAAAUCCAUCCUUAUACUCCCUUUUGAUCUAUAAAAUAUUUUCUAUGA